GAUGAACGCUGGCGGCGUGCCUAAUACAUGCAAGUCGAGCGAACAGACGAGGAGCUUGCUCCUCUGACGUUAGCGGCGGACGGGUGAGUAACACGUGGAUAACCUACCUAUAAGACUGGGAUAACUUCGGGAAACCGGAGCUAAUACCAGAUAAUAUAUUGAACCGCAUGGUUCAAUAGUGAAAGAGGGUUUUGCUGUCACUUAUAGAUGGAUCCGCGCCGCAUUAGCUAGUUGGUAAGGUAACGGCUUACCAAGGCGACGAUGCGUAGCCGACCUGAGAGGGUGAUCGGCCACACUGGAACUGAGACACGGUCCAGACUCCUACGGGAGGCAGCAGUAGGGAAUCUUCCGCAAUGGGCGAAAGCCUGACGGAGCCACGCCGCGUGAGUGAUGAAGGUCUUCGGAUCGUAAAGCUCUGUUAUUAGGGAAGAACAAAUGUGUAAGUAACUAUGCACGUCUUGACGGUACCUAAUCAGAAAGCCACGGCUAACUACGUG
RNAcentral lists this ribosomal RNA (497 nucleotides) under uncultured bacterium. RNAcentral's name for it is "partial 16S ribosomal RNA". It matches the Rfam family "Bacterial small subunit ribosomal RNA", at positions 28 to 507 of the family's 1533-position model. The record is from RNAcentral.